GAAGUGGGGAUGACGUCAAGUCCUCAUGGCCUUUAUGUCUAGGGCUACACACGUACUACAAUGGCCGGUACAAAGGGCAGCCACUCAGCGAUGAGGCGCUAAUCCCAUAAAGCCGGUCUCAGUCCGGAUCGCAGUCUGCAACUCGACUCCAUGAAGUUGGAAUCGCUAGUAAUCGCGGAUCAGUACGCCGCGGUCGAAUACGUUCCCGGGCCUU
This 214-nucleotide ribosomal RNA is filed under the name uncultured Desulfovibrio sp. RNAcentral describes it as "partial 16S ribosomal RNA". It matches the Rfam family "Bacterial small subunit ribosomal RNA", at positions 1170 to 1382 of the family's 1533-position model. The record is from RNAcentral. Lineage: Bacteria; Pseudomonadati; Thermodesulfobacteriota; Desulfovibrionia; Desulfovibrionales; Desulfovibrionaceae.